This is a non-coding RNA of Drosophila mojavensis, 47 nucleotides long. NCBI's taxonomy places the organism in Eukaryota, Metazoa, Arthropoda, Insecta, Diptera, Drosophilidae. The record is from Rfam.
CCAAACGUCCUUUUCAGGACGACCAAAUAUACAAAAGAGAUGCGAUU